GAUGAACGCUGGCGGCGUGCUUAACACAUGCAAGUCGAACGGUGAAGGCGGAGCUUGGUUUGAUGGAUCAGUGGCGAACGGGUGAGUAACACGUGAGCAAUCUGCCCCUGACUGUGGGAUAAGCGCUGGAAACGGCGUCUAUUACUGGAUACGAGCUGCGAAGGCAUAUUCAGCAGCUGGAAAGAACUUCGGUCAGGGAUGAGCUGGCGGCCUAUCAGCUUGUUGGUGAGGUAACGGCUAACCAAGGCGUCGACGGAUAGCCGGCAUGGGAGGGGGACCGGCCACACUGGGCCUAGGACAGGGCCCAGACUCCUACGGGGGGCAGUGGUGGGAAAUAUGACACAAUGGGGCAAAGCCUGAGGCAGAAACGCCGCGUGCGGAACGACGGCCUUCGGGUGGUAAACGUCUUUUGGAGGGGAAGAAGCGAAAGUGACGGUACCUGCAGAAAAAGCGCCGGCUAACUACGUG
RNAcentral lists this ribosomal RNA (468 nucleotides) under uncultured bacterium. RNAcentral's name for it is "partial 16S ribosomal RNA". It matches the Rfam family "Bacterial small subunit ribosomal RNA", at positions 28 to 507 of the family's 1533-position model. The record is from RNAcentral.